This 717-nucleotide long non-coding RNA is filed under the name Gossypium barbadense (sea-island cotton). Its description in RNAcentral is "long non-coding RNA (GBAR_LNC019523)". Lineage: Eukaryota; Viridiplantae; Streptophyta; Magnoliopsida; Malvales; Malvaceae. The record is from RNAcentral.
UUCAAGUGUCAGCGGAAACUUUCAGCAGAAUCAACAUUUCAACAUUGCCCUAAUCAGGUCUAAAUCCUUCCUUUUCUUUUUCUUUCUUCAACAUUUCAGCCUUCUUUCUUUUUCUUCUUUUUUUUCUAAAUCCCUAACUAAAUCCUUCUUUCUUUUUCUUCUUUUUCUAAAUCUUUAAUUUCUUUAUUCACAAUAUAGAAAGGGUUAUAACCGUGGGAACGAGGAAGAACAUAAAGAACUCUCAAAAAUUACUCUAAAAGGAAGUGGAGAAGAAAGGGAGAAAGUUGAACCGAGAAUUAAAGAGAAAAGAGACUCUUUGUGCUUUAGUAGGUAUUGUAUCGAUGUAUCUAAAUUCUUAAUAUCUUCUUUCUUUGAAACAAAGUUGUUCGUAGGUUGAAUCUUUGUUUCAUGACGUAUGUUGGUGAGAAAUAUGUUUGACUUGUUAAUCUCACGAAAGCAGUGUUUUCUUUAAUACACUUGUUCCCAUGAAAGCAAUGGUUGUAGACUUAAAUGUAUUGAAGAAAUGUCAUGUACUUGUAUAUACAUAUAGAUAUGUGUGAAUAUGGAAAAAAAAAUGGAUGGAUCGGGUCUAUUCGAACUUAAAAACGGACUUUAGCAUGACCCGUAAUCAGCUCUAGUUAGUUAUGGAGAGGAGAGAGGAGAGAGGAGAGAGAAUAGAAAGAAAAUGAAUCAUGGAGAAAGAAUAAGGAAAAAAGG